This is a long non-coding RNA of Rana temporaria (common frog), 1362 nucleotides long. RefSeq lists it as uncharacterized. The transcript has 6 exons. The record is from RefSeq and is a predicted model, not a curated record. NCBI's taxonomy places the organism in Eukaryota, Metazoa, Chordata, Amphibia, Anura, Ranidae.
UUUUAUUACAGGGCACUUGGGAAGCUUGUAAAUGACAGGCAGAAUAACUGGGACAUCUAUCUUGAUGCAACAUUAUUCGCCUUGAGAUCAAAGAUGCAGUUAACAACAAAGUACUCUCCGUUCCUACUUAUGUACGGGAGGGAAGCAAUUUUUCCGUCUGAGGUUCCACUUGAUCUGCCACUUUCGAACAUCAUUCUUCCCACUGAGGACAGCUAUGAUAAAUUUGUGGAAGAAAAGAAAGAUGCCCAAGUGUUGUUGCACGAAGCCACUAAGGCCAAUAUAGAGAAGGCCCAAACAAAGCAAAAGGAGGCUCACGCUAAGAAAGUGCUAAAAAAAUAUAAAAAUGUAACUUUCAAUGUUGGUGAUGAGGUCCUUCUCUAUAACAUGAGAAAGCGUGGCAGACAAGGAGGAAGGAUGGAGCCGGACUUCACGGGGCCUUAUACCAUCCAGGAGGUGAUUGGAAAAAUUGUAAAGUUAGCGACUUCUGAUGGGAAGACUUUAAAAAAAAAAUAAGCUUGAACCACAUAAAACCAUAUCGAAGGAGCUUCAAUACUUCAGCCCUCGUGGUCAAAAAAGAAGCAAAGUCCCCUGAGAAGAUCGAUGACAGUCCACCCUGCCCUAAGAAGAUCGAGGACAGUCCACCAUGGCCUGAGAAGAUCGAGGACAGUCCACCAUGGCCUGAGAAGAUCAACUACAGUCCACCCUGCACAGAGAAGAUUGAGGACAAUCCACCCUGGCCUGAGAAGAUCGAGGACAGUCCACCCAGCCAAAAACAUUGUGUCUCUAUCAUCGAUUUCAUUAACGAUACUAUGGAGUUCAAACGCUGUGGAAUUCAGAAGAUCAGGACUCCGAGGAACCAGUGGUGGGGCCAUACAAACUGUAUGUGUCGUCUUUUAAAACUCUGCAUGGGACAGAGUGGCUUUCUGAUGAGGUAAGGGAUUAACACUAAUUAAUAGAAAUGAGUUAAAUAUAUUUAAUAGUAAUAUUUUAAUAAAUAUUUUAUUUUACAGGUCAUUGAUGCAUACAUAUGGCAUGUAAUUGCACAUUAUCGAGUAAGUGUAACGUGCUUGUAUGUUUAAUUUAUAUGUUCAUUGCACUAUAAUAAAGUAUUCUCACUUUAAUUUGUUUCAAACAGCUACCGAUUCACCAGAUAUGCGCCAGUGCUGCUACGUCCUUAUUUAUUGGUGACAUUUCAAGACUUGGAAAGAUGCCAUUUCCAGAGGAGGAUAUGUGGAUUUGCCCAUUUAACCAUAAGAGUCAUUGGAUUUUGAUGAUCGUAAGGAAGUCACAAAAGGAGCUCCUACUGAUGGAUCCACUCGGCAAUGAAGAUUACUAUGCGUCAAUCCUUAAACCAAACUGGGG